UCUCGUUUAGCUCAGUCGGUAGAGCAUUCGCUCGAUAAGCGAAAAGUCCAUGGUUCAAGUCCAUGAACGAGAACCA
This 76-nucleotide transfer RNA is filed under the name Thermotogota bacterium. Its description in RNAcentral is "Thermotogae bacterium tRNA-Ile". It matches the Rfam family "tRNA". Rfam says of the family: Transfer RNA (tRNA) molecules are approximately 80 nucleotides in length. Lineage: Bacteria; Thermotogati; Thermotogota. The record is from RNAcentral.